AAAAAAAAAAAAAAAAACCACCUGCCUUGUAUGGUGACCUAAUUUCUCAAGUGUAUUUGUCUUCAACACAGAACUUUCUAGAUGGCAGAGACCAGCCUGAAACCUAUGGAUGCCAAAGCCUCUCUCUCCGCUUGAAGCAGGCCUUCCACAUGUGAUAAGUGAAUAUGGAAGUACAGCCUGAAUCUUCUACCUGAGUUAAACAGGAAGGCUUAGCCUCUGCAACCUGUGUAAAAGCCAAUUCAGCAACAUCUGAAGUCAUGUUUGCAGUGAUUGGGAUGGGAGCAGGUGAAGCAGAAGGGCCUGGGACCUUCAUUUGCUUGGGAGCUGAGGAGGGAGCUCUGUGGCAGAAGAGAGGGAGGGCAGGCAAGUGCCCGGCCCCUAAGACUUCUGGGAAGAGCAGCUUCAACACUGCAGCUCAGGUGCAGCUUGGGAAGUUAGCUCAGGAAGGUCCUGCUGCCUUUGUUUUAGGGAUCCCCAACCCAGCGAACAGCCCGUUGGCGUUCAGGAGUCGGGGAGACUUGCCCGGCUCGCCGGCUUUGAG
RNAcentral lists this long non-coding RNA (541 nucleotides) under Castor canadensis (American beaver). RNAcentral describes it as "lncRNA (ENSCCNG00000030946.1)". The record is from RNAcentral. Lineage: Eukaryota; Metazoa; Chordata; Mammalia; Rodentia; Castoridae.